GAAUCUUGCGCAAUGGGCGAAAGCCUGACGCAGCGACACCGCGUGAGGGAUGAAGGCCUUCGGGUCGUAAACCUCUUUCGGCAGGGACGAAGCGAUCAGUGACGGUACCUGCAGAAGAAGCCCCGGCUAACUACGUGCCAGCAGCCGCGGUAAGACGUAGGGAGCGAGCGUUGUCCGGAUUCAUUGGGCGUAAAGAGCGCGCAGGCGGUUUGGUAAGUCGGAUGUGAAAUCCCGGGGCUCAACCCCGGACCUGCAUCCGAUACUGCCCGACUAGAGGUAGGUAGGGGAGAUCGGAAUUCCUGGUGUAGCGGUGAAAUGCGCAGAUAUCAGGAGGAACACCGGUGGCGAAGGCGGAUCUCUGGGCCUUACCUGACGCUCAGGCGCGAAAGCUAGGGGAGCGAACAGG
RNAcentral lists this ribosomal RNA (406 nucleotides) under uncultured bacterium. RNAcentral describes it as "bacterial SSU rRNA". It matches the Rfam family "Bacterial small subunit ribosomal RNA", at positions 359 to 776 of the family's 1533-position model. The record is from RNAcentral.